RNAcentral lists this ribosomal RNA (106 nucleotides) under Lactarius deterrimus. Its description in RNAcentral is "partial 28S ribosomal RNA". The stretch from base 50 to 106 matches the Rfam family "Eukaryotic large subunit ribosomal RNA", at positions 1 to 57 of the family's 3401-position model. The record is from RNAcentral. Lineage: Eukaryota; Fungi; Basidiomycota; Agaricomycetes; Russulales; Russulaceae. RNAcentral also lists the same sequence under 2 other names.
UUUGGGCGCGUCUCCCUUCUCGGGAGACUCUCUCAACCCCACGAACCCUUGACCUCAAAUCGGGUGAGACUACCCGCUGAACUUAAGCAUAUCAAUAAGCGGAGGA